Rattus norvegicus (Norway rat) is the source of this 7756-nucleotide non-coding RNA. Lineage: Eukaryota; Metazoa; Chordata; Mammalia; Rodentia; Muridae. The record is from RefSeq and is a predicted model, not a curated record.
GGAGAACCUUUUUGGAGACACAAAGAUGUGUGAUUUUUUUAUUGCUUUGCAGAAUUGGCUUCAAUAUACCCCUUUUCUCUCCUGUCAUCUAAAAUUUCAAAGUUAGUAUUGUCUAGUACAGUGGGUUUCAGUAUGCUUAGGCUGAAAGAAUAAUGUAUCCCAUAGUAGUUCCUAGGACAAAUUAUAACUUACUAUCAUGAAUCUGCUCACAAAGUACUCAUUUAUUUGAAGUAUUAAUUAAUUUAUAUCCAAUAAUGGAUUAAUAAUAAAAUCUUUCUGGCUUAUAUAGUAGCUACAAGGUAGGAAAGUAGAAUGUUAUUAAUAGUAAGAAAGAUUAUUUUCUUAAUAUAAUAUUCAUGAAGAGCUUCUUUACUGAGCAUAUUAAAAGACUAGCCACUUUGCCUUCUCUGCCAGUGUGUACUCAGUUACAUGAGAGCUCUUUAAUGCUUGGAACAGGAAGAGUAUCAUUGCAGCACAGGUAUGAGUGGGACCCUCCUUUCCUUUGAAAGCAAACACAAUCAGUAAUAUUUUUUAGGUUGUGGUUUUUUUGUUGUUGUUUUGAGACAAGCUCUCAUGUAGCCCAGGCUGGCUUCAAACUCUCUAUGUAACUAAACAUGGCCUUCAACUCAAUCCUAUGGUCUGUACUUCCCAAGUACUGAAUUACAAGUAUUGAGUGUGUAUCACACUCAGUUCAUGUUCAAUGCUAUCUUUUUCAACUAAGACUGAUGAUGAUCCAACCUAUUUUCAACAAGAAUGAACUAAUAUUAGAAACUAGUUUUAAGUCAUUAUCCAUAUAAAAAAAUUUACUACGGGACAAUGGAUAAUUAAGCAUAUAAACAUAAAACUUUGUGUAAAAAUAUGAUGGUUUACCUCCAUUUUUCUGUAAGAUUUGUAUUUUUUAUAAAAUAGAUUCAUAUCUCGAAAACAUGAUUAUUUUAAAAUCUAAAUAACUGGUAACACAGUAUGAUAUUUUACUCAUUCUAUAUUUAUCAUUGCUAUAACAUUUCAUUUAUCCAACAUAAAAUAAAUGUUUGCACUAGCUAUGUAACUCAACUUCUGACUCUAAGGCAUUUCCAAGUAGUGUCUUAACAAAGGUAUAAGAAAGUAUGUUGAGAGCAGAACUGGGCAAAUGGAUUCAGACUCGAAUAUUCUGGAGUAUUUCCUAUGCCUGCUUACCUGGAUGGGAACACACCGAGCAGUGAACCACUUUUUUUGCUGCUGAUUGUGGAACAGAGUAGCCAGGUUCUUCAGUCCACUGGUUAAACCUAUUAUUAGAAAAUGGUUUAAAAAAAGAAAGAAAAAAUUGAGUUAAUUAAAAUAGAGUCACAAAUGUCAGUUUAUCAUAUUCUCUUUAACCUGUCAAAUUACUUUUUCUUUGGUGAUUAUAAACUCACUUGCUUGGCCUGGGAAAAUGUUUAGUUUUUCUACAAGCUUUACAUGUGGUUCCAGGUAGAGAAGAAUUCCAAAAGGAGGCAGAACGUAAACACCUAUAUGUUUGUAUAGAUUAUAUCUAAUCACACUCAUUCUGUUCGUUUGUUUUGUUUUGUUUUGUUUUCCUUUUUUUGAUGAGUUUGUCAGGGUCAAAAUAAUUUGUAUAUGCCUUUUUUCAUACUGUUUCUGUGUGCCAGAGUAUAAAACAAGCAGAAUCAUAUGAACAAUCAUUAUUUUGAAUGAGAAAUAAGGGUAAAGAGUAAUUUAAUGCCAGGUUUUAAGAGAUAUACAUGUAGAGGGGCGUGGUGGUGCAUGCCUUGGACCCCAGCACUUUCGAGGCAGAUCUUUGAGAGUUCAAGGCCAGCCUAAUCUACAAAGAGAGUUCUAGGACGGCCAGGGCUGUUAUACAGAGAAACCUCGUCUCAAGAAAAACAAAAACAACCCCCAUCCCCCCAUAAACUUAACCAACACCAACCAACCAAAAAUCCAAAAACCAAACAAACAAAAAGUGUGUAUGCAACUGCUAAGAUUUUGAGUAACAAAAGUUUUGAUUUUGGCUGAUGUUUCAGGUUACCAUAAUACUAUCAAGGACAGCUAGAUACUUCUGAGAAAGCAUUAAGUGAGUUCAAAGGGCAAUGUGUGGUGCUGAGGUAAUUAAUUAGCUGUUGGAAAUUUUGAUUCCAUUUAUGAAAAACUAAGUAUAUUAAAAAUCUAUAGUAAUAGUUUCUGGAUAAAUGACAAAGCUUCAAAGAAUAAAAAAAUAAGGAAAAUAAUAUAAAUUAUUAAAAUUAGGAGAAUGGAUAAUUAUAAAAGAUAAUUAUAUGGUUAAAUGAUUCCAAAUAGUACAUAUUUGCUGAUACUAUUUCAAAGAGAGUAACUUAGAAUUUGGUAAGUACCAUAUUUACUUGUAUUUCAUUCUUUAUUUAUUUUUAUUUUCUUUUCCCUUUUUUCGGAGCUGGGGACCGAACCCAGGGCCUUGCGUUUGCUAGCACAGUAACCACAGAACUCUAUGAGAACGUGCUGGAGACUUAGCUCUACCAACAGCUUUACAGCUGGAAGAGAAGCACUGAAGGAAAGAGUGCAGUGAUCUGAAGGACUCUCCAGGUGUUUCUUCUCUUUUGCCUCCUUAGAGUUUCUUCUGAGGCACACACCACCUCAGAACUAAUUAGGGGCAAUCAAGACUAUGUUCAGCUUCCCAGGUCUCUUUUCUUUCUUAUUUUAUAUCUUAUUGUCAUCUUUUAUAAACUAUUGCUUUCAUCAAGCACAUAUAACUACAAGUUUUUAAGAGAAUAAGUAGUUUGUAAAUUUCAAUGUAAUCUGUAUCUUAACCACAUCCUCAGCUGUACCACUCAAAUUAGAAUUAACGUAUUACUAAAUGUAUAGCAGCAAGACAAGGAAUAAAGCUAAAGUCUUUUAAGUUUUAUUGUAGUGUUGUGUAUGCAUGUUUAUACAGUGUGUUUGUGUCUUGUCUGCUGUGUAUGUGCGAGUGCAGGCAGGCAUGUAUAUGCCACUCUGCGUAUGCAGAAGUCAGAGGACAACUUUUAUGCAUUACUUCUCUCUAUCACGAAUGCUAGCAAUCGAAUGAACUCAGGUGGUCAGGCUUGUCCUGUUACCUACUGAGCCAUGUAGCUGGCCCAAAUUAAAAGCUCUUUAUCAAUUUUACUUGUUGAGUAUUCAGCAUGCAAUAUUGUAUUUCAUUUAUAGAAAUUAAUGUAGUACCAAAGCAUCAAAUACAAAAUUAUUUUAAUGUUAUGUUCAUCUUUACUGGAUACCAAUGAUCUGAAACAGCCUAUGAAUAAUGCACACGGUUAUAAUGAUACACUAGCCCUCAGACUGUGCAGUGAAGCAAUAGGCACCACACACUUAAGAGCAUUAGUGUGAGCAUAUAUCCAUUUCCUUCCUUCAAAAGACUUCAAGGUAAGUAAAAAUUAAUGACUGAAAACGAGUAGUUCAAAAACAACCCUUUCUGUAGUAGGAUUAACUACUAAGUCCAACAAGCACAAAUGUCUGAUAUGGAAUAAAAAACUGUUUAGUUACCUCUGAAGCAAACUUUGACCUUUCAAAAUCUGCAAAAGUUUUAACGCUUGUUCUUUUCCAACUCCAGGCACUCCCUUCCAUAAAGUGGAAAAAAAACCUUAAAUGUUAAUAACAGGAAUAAUAGGGACACAUAUAAAGAGAUAGAACAGUGACCAACCGCAUUUUUACACAGCAUAUUUAAGAAAAGGUUAGCCUGUAAUUCCUAUUGCUCUAUGAACAAACUGACACGGUGUGUGAGGCAGGGAGUCUGAAUGGCUUUCUUCAGUCAUGACACUGCUUAGUGCAGCAGCAAUAGCACUGCACGUGUGUGUUACUAGACAAGGACGAUGACUACACAGCUCACAAACAAGUAAAGCCAUAAUAAAAACUAGCACUGCUAUAAAACAAGAGCAAUCCUUAAACGUCCUUGAUAAGUUGGUCAAGCACACAUUUUAACUGCUUUUGAGCUUAAAGCUGUGGAUUGCUUACUGCACUCUCCUUUGCCACAUUUAUUGUCACAAGGGACAAAUGUAUAAAGGUGGCUUUUAGCAUUCUGAUUGUCUUUGCAUUUAUUUACUUAUUAGUUUGUGUGUAUGUGCAGGAUGUGUGUGAGCAUGUGUGAUGCUGGGGACAACAUACUAUGACAGGGACUGCCAGCAGUAGGCCCGUGACAGCUCCUUGUAAAGAAGGGUGGUCCUGAGAAGCAGGAGACACAUCCCUCCAGAGGACCCGCCAUCUGAAAUAAGAGGCUGCCUGCAGUAGGCCGGGAUGGAGACAUCUCAGAAGCUUGAGGCAGCUUCUUAUAAAAAAGGGUGGCGUCUGGGACCCUGAGAAACAGGAGACAUCCUUCCAGGGGACCCGCCAUCUGAAAUAAGAGGCUGCCUGCAGUAGGCCGGGAUGGAGACAUCUCAGUAGCCCACAGCAGCUCUUAGUAAAAAGGUUGUUCCCAUUUCUCCUACCCUUAGCCCUGGACAACGUCUGUAUAGACUUCAUUCGUGCAUGACUGCCUUUCAGUUGGCCUUGGUGUGCAUAAUUAUUCUAUUAUAUCUGUCUUCCCUACUUCUUUCUUCUUCUGCUCUGGUGAAUUCUGUAAAACUAGAUGUUCCUUGAUGUAAUGAUUCUUAAACAAUUGGAAAUUGAGGCAUAGGGCACAGCACAGCCCUAAUGGCUCACUCAGGUGCAUGCUGUGUGUUCUCAUCUUGGAAACAAUGAAAUAAUUGCACAAUAGUAGUUCCAGAUUAAUGCUUGACUUGAAAAGAAACUUUAAAGAAGUUGUUAGAAAAUGAAUUAGAGCCAACAUUGGGACCUUAAGAAAGGAAAAAGUUGGGGUUGGGGAUUUAGCUUAGUGGUAGAGCGCUUGCCUAGCAAGCGCAAGGCCCUGGGUUCGGUUCCCAGUUCCGGGGAAAAAAAAAAAAAAAAAAAAAAAAGAAAGGAAAAAGUUAUUGAAGUUAGGAAAUAAGUUUUACAUAACAUUUGAGAGUGGUUCCUGGAUAAGGAAGUAUAGAAUAUAUAAAAUUAUAUACUAGUAAAACUAAGUCAAAAUACUGGCAUUCUUAUAAGAGUCAUUAUGUGCAAGGAACAGAGAGCCAGCAGAACUACUGAGUUAAGGGUUAACUUGAUUCUUUCUGGCCGCUGCCUGGCAACUUUGCCCAUGUCAUUUAUCAUUAGAGCUUCACAGGAAAAUGCAAGUAGCUGACCUCAGAGCUUUGAGCUCUUUAGUAUAAUAAGUCAAAAGUUAAAGUUUAAAUAAUGAUAAGUUUACAAUUAUUAUUAUUUUGGCCAGAGGCCUGGGAAUAGGGAAAGCUUGAAACUUUGAGGAAUAAUUGUAAUUCUUAGUUCUUUGUGGGAUGUGGUUAUUCUUUUGAAUUUGAUUUGGCAAUGAUUAUACAAUGUCUUUUUUCUACCUGCUUUUGGAUUAUCAAUAAAAGACUGGGGCAAGAGAAAGGCUGCAGAGUAGAUGAGAGAGCAAAUGUGAGAGCAAAUCUCAGAGCGAAUGAGAGAGCGAGUCUGAGAGCAAAUCGAGUGCAAGAGCAUGAGAAGAGCAUGUGCAGAGUGAGUGAAGAGAGAAUGUGAGGUGUGUAUGAAGAGUGUGUGUGUGAGUGAAAGGAGUGCGUGUGGUGUGUGUGAGAUGUGUGUGAGGUGUGUAUGAAGAGUGUGUGAGAAUGAAAGGGUACUGAACAGAGGUGUGCAUGAGUGUGGGAAUUCGAGAAAAGAAAAAUGCAAUAGAAAAAAACAGUACGCAAAAAAACAGAAAACAAACAAACAAACAAACCAGAGAAUGCAGAGUGUGUGCAGCCUCAAGCUGAAAGAGAGGGAGAGGAAGAGAGAGAGAGAAACUUUAAGCCUUGAAAUUGCCUGUCAGUUUGUACCCAGAGUAGUCUGUGUAUGUUUAUUAUGUGCCUUCCAGAUAUCCCUGCUUCCAGUUGAGAACCCCGAACCUGUGUCCAGGCUGGACCCCGGCAAUGUGCUAUGGCACAGAGGUCAAUUUUAUGUACUUGGCUUUCCCCUUCACCUUUAUGUGUAUCGCAGGCAUGGACUCAGGUGGUCAGGCUUGCGGAGCAGUCAGUGCUUGCAACCAUGGAGCAUCUCAUCCACCCAACUGACUUCUGUUAGUGACUGUCUUAUACUUUAAACGCAAAUGAAUCCAUAAUUAUAUGCCCAAACUAUGCUCAUGAAUACACACACCACAUGUGAAAUAUGAAAGAAAGAUAAUGAGAAAGCGAUGAAUGAGCUCGGCUUGCCUUCGGAAGGUAAUCACAACCAAGAAGUACCGCCAGUCCCACCAGAGCAUCUCGAUCCAAGCCUAGCUUACUCUUGAUAGAUGAUACCGUGUAACAGUCAACAUGUGGAUCCUACAGAAGAAGCACAGAAGUUUUAUCUUCAAAGCGUUUUUUGUUAAACAGAAAGAAUCAGUUGUCAUUUAGACCUUUUCUAAAAAUUUAAACAAGAAAAUUAUACUCAUCACAACAGUAUGGAUAGAAUGUUACAUUUCAAUGAAUGAGUAAAGGGGAGCUGAAAGGUCCUCCCUAUCGGGCAUCUUUCCAAGUCCUGGAAUGUGUCUUGCAUGUUGCUGUGGAGAAGGGAAGUCAUCAACAAUGUAGCCCAGCUGUGAACCCUGGCAGCUACUACGAUGACCAGCAUGAGGAUUGAAUACUGGCACAAAUGUUCUGAGUGUAGCCAGCUGCUUUAUGAUUAGAUCUAAGACUCACCCUCCAGGAGGAAACACAUUCCUGGUACUGUGUAGCUGCCUGAGAAGCCAUGGUUAGGGAGCUCAUAGGUCCCAGAGGUGAACCUACUAUUAUUUUGCUCAGUGGACAUAGUAUUGAACUGCCUUAUAAAUUUGCAUCCGGUAUCCAUGGAUUAUUAGAGUUCUGGGACUUUAUUAGAGAGCAGUGGGCUUUAUGUACAGAGAAUAAGUGUAUGUACAAUAUAUCACCCUUCCUUUCCCCAAGGCUCAGGGACUAUGGUGGAAGAGUGUGCAGAAAGAUUGUUAAGCUAGAGGUUGGGAGGACAGAGGAAAAAGAGUGUCUCAUAAACACAACAGAGCCACUGCACCUGUAAACUCACAGCAGCUGGCUUGCCUGCCAAAGCUGAGGGCAGUCCACAUUUCAGCACUGAGCAGCACAAGCAGGAGAGGCGCAGGAGCCUCCACCCCUAGCUGAGGAACCAUUGACAGCUGAUGGUUUCUGUGGGAGGGAGAGUCAAUUUCCUCUAAGGGUGCAAACUCUAGUAGGUUGCCGGGUAGAUAGCACAUACCCAAUAGUAUAUGGGCAUUACAUUUUUUUUUUUAAAUUUGGUCAACUUAACAUAAUCUAAAGUCAUCUGGAAAGGUGAAACCUCAAUUGAGGAAAUACUUCAGUAAGACUGCUAUGUAGGCAAGUCAUUGGGGGUGCUUUCUUAAUGACUGAUGUUGGUGGGAGCUGACUGUGGAUGGUGCCAUCUUCCAUGAGUUGUAUUUAAAAAAAAAAAAAAAAAAAAGCUGACCAAGCUAUGCGGAGUAAGUCAGAAAACAGCAUUCUCCCAUGACCUCUGCAUCAGUUUUUGCCUCGAGAUUCUUGUAUUGACUUCUCUCGAUGACAAGGAAGUAUGAGUCAAAUAAACCCUUUUCUCCCCAAGUUUUUUUUUUUUUUGGUUGUAGUGUUUAUCACAGCAACAGGAAGCAAACUAGGACAGAGAGAGCAAGGGCGGCAAUUAGAUCUGGGAAGAGUGGGUGCUUAGUCAAAAUACAUUGAACUCAUGUAUAACAGCCUCAAAAUUUUAUUAAAAAUAUUAUAUUAAAAUAAGAUAAACCUUCAUGGUAGGCAAUUUC